This 459-nucleotide ribosomal RNA is filed under the name uncultured bacterium. Its description in RNAcentral is "partial 16S ribosomal RNA". It matches the Rfam family "Bacterial small subunit ribosomal RNA", at positions 338 to 795 of the family's 1533-position model. The record is from RNAcentral.
CCUACGGGUGGCAGCAGUGAGGAAUAUUGGUCAAUGGGCGCUAGCCUGAACCAGCCAAGUAGCGUGAAGGAUGACUGCCCUAUGGGUUGUAAACUUCUUUUAUAUGGGAAUAAAGUGCAGUAUGUAUACUGCUUUGCAUGUACCUUAUGAAUAAGGAUCGGCUAACUCCGUGCCAGCAGCCGCGGUAAUACGGAGGAUGCGAGCGUUAUCCGGAUUUAUUGGGUUUAAAGGGUGCGCAGGCGGAUUUUUAAGUCAGCGGUCAAAUCGUGGGGCUCAACCCCAUCCAGCCGUUGAAACUGGGGAUCUAGAGUGUGCGAGAGGUAUGCGGAAUGCGUGGUGUAGCGGUGAAAUGCAUAGAUAUCACGCAGAACCCCGAUUGCGAAGGCAGCAUACCGGUGCACAACUGACGCUCAGGCACGAAAGCGUGGGUAUCGAACAGGAUUAGAUACCCGAGUAGUC